Molecule: ribosomal RNA, 270 nt
Filed under: uncultured bacterium
Lineage: Bacteria
Description: partial 16S ribosomal RNA
Rfam family: Bacterial small subunit ribosomal RNA
Source: RNAcentral
UUCGGAAUGAAACCUGAUAUGACUUAGUGGCGGACGGGUGAGUAACACGUGAGCAACCUGCCUUUCAGAGGGGGAUAACGGCUGGAAACGGUCGCUAAUACCGCAUGACGUGUUCGGAUGGCAUCAUCUGAACAUCAAAGAUUUAUCGCUGAAAGAUGGGCUCGCGUCUGAUUAGAUAGUUGGUGGGGUAACGGCCCACCGUGCCUACUACGGGUAGCCGGACUGAGAGGUUGAACGGCCACAUUGGGACUGAGACACGGCCCAGACUCC